RNAcentral lists this long non-coding RNA (948 nucleotides) under Volvox carteri. RNAcentral describes it as "long non-coding RNA (VCAR_LNC003370)". Lineage: Eukaryota; Viridiplantae; Chlorophyta; Chlorophyceae; Chlamydomonadales; Volvocaceae. The record is from RNAcentral.
CUUGGAGUGCUUCCAGUCCCAGUGCGCCAGGGCCGGGACGCACCCCCACCGCGAUGGUGUUGAAGUGCAGCUGGUCGGCAGCGGCAGGAAGGUACUGGACCUGUCGGGAUCGAUGCGAAUGUUGGAGGGAUGUGUGCGUGUGUGAGAGGGUGUGGUGAGAGUUUGAGCGAAGAAGCGAAGAUGGGCGUUUUUAGGGAUCGACACCGAUGUUCCAAAAUUUUGAACAGAACAGACCACAAAAGUGGUGUGGCAUGUUUGACACUCCGGUCUUCUAUAACCAAUCUUUUUAGCUGUUUGGACUGUUUGAGGCUUGCGCACAAGUGGCAAAAAAGUGGAAUGCAUACGCAUUGAGGUAUCGAUAUCGCUUUUGCAUGUUAAGGGUCGUAUAACUGGCUCUGGGAAAGCCAUUUCUGAUAUCUGCCAACGUAUCAUUCCCCGACGUUUCAGAGCCUGGGCGUUGAGAACCAACCUGGACACCUGCGCGAGGUGCCGCAUCUGAUAUGCGAACCACACGCCCGGCUAGCAGUGUUAUACCCGCGAGCAGUUGGCCAGAUGAAGCUCCAGUAUCGGUUCCUGCGGAGUCUGCUCAGAGUGUCGAUGGAAGGCCUCGUCGUUGCAGCGCGUCGUUCGACUUGCCCAUGGACAUGUGCGAACGAGUGCGCGGUCGAUUCUCGUACCUGAAAUGACUACACAUCGCAGCCCAGGUGCAUGUCGCAGAAUUGAUUGGCCUAAUGUGGCGCCGUGCUGUGGGUUCCGGGCAAUCACGCAAACCGUCGCUGCCAUAGGACGGCCCGUGGACCGGUACUGUAGUACGCUUUACUAGACCGCCAAACAAAGGCUGUGAGGCGUGCUAUUUGAGUUUUUCAAGCUCAUUCGGAAAGCUUUUCGCGAAAACGUAAGCACGUGUGCGACCUGUCAGUUGAUCCUGGCGUACAAACUCUAGCGAAA